AUAACAGGUCUGUGAUGCCCUUAGAUGUUCUGGGCUGCACGCGUGCUACAAUGAUAAUUUCAAUAAGUAGUGAAUAGUGUAGUAGCUUGCUAUUACAUUGUUCGGUCACUUCAACGAAAGUUGUGGUUACUCUUAUGAAAGAAUUAUCGUGCUGGGGAUAGAUGAUUGUAAUUAUUGAUCUUGAACGAGGAAUUCCUUGUAAACAAAAGUCAACAACUUUUGUUGAUUAUGUCCCUUCCCUUUGUACACACCGCCCGUCG
RNAcentral lists this ribosomal RNA (260 nucleotides) under uncultured eukaryote. Its description in RNAcentral is "partial small subunit ribosomal RNA". It matches the Rfam family "Eukaryotic small subunit ribosomal RNA", at positions 1453 to 1678 of the family's 1831-position model. The record is from RNAcentral.